RNAcentral lists this ribosomal RNA (274 nucleotides) under uncultured bacterium. RNAcentral describes it as "partial 16S ribosomal RNA". It matches the Rfam family "Bacterial small subunit ribosomal RNA", at positions 523 to 796 of the family's 1533-position model. The record is from RNAcentral.
AUACGGAGGGUGCAAGCGUUGUUCGGAAUUACUGGGCGUAAAGCGCGUGCAGGCGGUAAGGUAAGUCAGAUGUGAAAGCCCCGGGCUCAACCCGGGAAGUGCAUUUGAUACUGCCUUUCUUGAGUAUGGGAGAGGAGAGUGGAAUUCCCAGUGUAGAGGUGAAAUUCGUAGAUAUUGGGAGGCACACCCGUGGCGAAGGCGACUCUCUGGACCAAUACUGACGCUGAGACGCGAAAGCGUGGGGAGCGAACAGGAUUAGAAACCCCAGUAGUCC